This 292-nucleotide ribosomal RNA is filed under the name uncultured Acidobacteriota bacterium. RNAcentral's name for it is "uncultured Acidobacteria bacterium partial 16S ribosomal RNA". The record is from RNAcentral. Lineage: Bacteria; Pseudomonadati; Acidobacteriota.
GGACUACCGGGGUAUCUAAUCCUGUUUGCUACCCACGCUUUCGUGUCUCAGCGUCAGAAGUGGUCCAGUAAGCUGUCUACACCACAGGUGUUCCUCCUGAUAUCUACGCAUUUCACCGCUACACCAGGAAUUCCGCUUACCUCUCCCACCCUCGAGCAUUCCAGUUUCCGGCGCACCCUCCCAGUUAAGCCGGGAGAUUUCACACCAGACUUGGAACACCGCCUACACACUCUUUACGCCCAGUAAUUCCGAACAACGCUCGCUGCCUACGUAUUACCGCGGCGGCUGGCAC